This 31306-nucleotide long non-coding RNA is filed under the name Prunus persica (peach). Its description in RNAcentral is "long non-coding RNA (PPER_LNC001538)". The record is from RNAcentral. Lineage: Eukaryota; Viridiplantae; Streptophyta; Magnoliopsida; Rosales; Rosaceae.
UUGAUCAUCAAAGCAAACACACAGAAAUCCCAACUAAAAAUCAAUCAGUGAGACAAUGGCUGGAACCAAUGAUAUUAAAAUUAAAGGGUUUGAUUUGAGCAACAACAAAGGCAACACGUCGGGAUUAACCCACUUCGCCAACAGAGCUGCCGAGGGCGACAAGGGCGACAAUAAAAUCGAGGUUGAGGAUGCUAAAGGGCAAGGGAACACGGGAAACUUGAAAGUACUGACCGACUUCGCCCAACGCGGUAAAGUGGGCCAGUCGGAUCGCCAAGAACUACUCAAACCUCAGGCAUGAAAUUGAAGAAGGCCAGACCACAACAACUUGUCUGCUUGAUAGAUAUAUGUGCUAAAUUAUCUACACAAAAAUAAGAGCUGAUGUUUUAUCUGAGGCUCCUUCCUUGGUUAGGCCUCGUUAUCAUGUGUAAUAUUAAUAUUAUUAUUCUAAUAAAAUAAUGGUAGCUUAUUAUUAAAUAUAUCAGAAUUCUAUACGUAUAACUUUUAGAUUAUUGAUACUGAUGUCAACAAGAGAAAAUGAUUAAAAAUUCCUUUCUCCAAUUCGUGAUGUUAGACAAGAAGCAAACAAAUUUAGGAUAAUGGAUUUUAAAAGUUUGGUGACAAAUGAUGGUAAAGAAGAAUUUAGCCACUACUACAAAAAGUGAAAAAGACGACCAGAAAACAACGACGGUCUAAGUGAAAACCGUCGUGGUUUAUAAAAAGACGACGGUUCUAAAAACACCGUCGUGUAAUACAACCUUAGACAACUAAAAAAUGGAGUUUCAAAUGGCUGUUCAAAAACAACGACGUACAUAAUUAAACAACCGACGUCUAUUUGAAACAGAUUUCCUCAGUGUAAAAUCAAUGCCAACAAAGAACGGCAGAAGUUAUGAAUCGACCGACGUAGAAAGUAAAGACGACGAUUUCAAUAAAAACUGCCGUUUUUACUCAUAAAAUAACACGACGAGGUUUUCGUAUAAGACGCCGUAUAAUUACAAACAAAUCCACGGCUUUAAAAUACAAAAUAUCGCCGUAUUAAAUUAAUUUACAACGACGGAAAAUAUAAAUAUAUCGACGUCAUUCUCGUAUAGUUCUACUACGUUAUCUUUAAAUCGUACAAUAAAAUUUAUCGUCGUAUUUAUUCAUUUUAUACGUCGUACCUUUAAUUUUAACGGUCGUCUUAAUAAGAAUUUUUGUUAACAAUUUUUUUCUUUGAUUUUCUUAUCCUACGUCGGUAGAUCUACUUAAUGACAAGAAUUGAAAUAACCACGACGGUUUAUAUAGAACACCGCCGACAUAAUCAGUUUUGUCUGAGAUCCCAAGGGUUACGAAAUCUUACCAGAUGGAACUCUGUUCCACAUCAUAAUCUUAACAGAUGACACAGAUUUGCAAAUAUUGCGUCGUGUUAGUUUACAAAUUCUAGAACAUUAAUUUCCCUCAUUUUAAAUUUCCUCGGGAAAGAAAAAUCUAUUUAUCACGCUUUGGAAUUGAAAACUAAAACUGAAAGAAUACGGGAAAAAAAACUCCAUUUAUAAUUUAAAAUUAAAAUCCACGUCGGUUGUAGUACACUUAACGACGUUUAACAAAAUAAUCUACGUCGGUAAUUAUAAAUCUACCGCCAUCGUAACUUAAUAUAGACGACGAGAAAAGACGACGGUAGAACAGAAAACCGCCGUUGUUUCAGUUUCUUUAACAUAUCUUUCUGCAGGACUUGUGUAGUUCAAAGCAUUGACAAUGUCUUCAUCAUAUCUCCCAGAAACUACUGAUUCAAUUGCUCAUGCUUUAGAGGCCAUCUGAAGCCAUUUCUAUUCUUUAUCGCAUUCUUGAAACCCAUCUUCUUCUUCUGAAGCUCUACGGAUAAAGGAAGAGGCUAUCACAAUAAAUCCGACGGAUCUUCUUAGGCAAGAAAAUCAAGCAGAGGAUCAGGCACAUCUGAUCUUCAGAUUUCCCUGAGAAGCGAACUUUCCUUCGACAGCGAGUGGAGGCCAGGCUUGCAUCUCUUUUGAUGGAAAGCAAGGAGUAUUCAGAAGCACUAAGUGUCCUAUCAGGCUUGAUCAAGGAAGUGAGAAGGCUAGUUGACAAGCUUCUUCUUGUGGACAUAUAUUUGAUGCGAGUAAGCUCAAUUUCUCUUUGAGAAAACAUCCAAAUUAUUAUCUUUGAGACAUGAGAGACUGAGAGAGGAAGAACUUGGAACCUUAAAUGUAAACCGAAAAUGAAUGAAAGCGACAAAUUUAUAGAAUAAAUUUUUAAAACCAACGGCGGUCCUUACAAACAAACCGCCGUUUAAAUUGUAAAAUCAACGUCGGUAUGAUCGACGUAUAUUACAGAAAUCCACGUCGGUAAAUUAAUAAAAACGACGUGUUAAAUAAUAUACCAUGACGCGAGUUAUUACUUAUGUACUUUAAUUUUUGAGUUUACUACGACGGUACCUACAAACUACUGUCGUAUUUAUUUACCACGUCCGAAGUUAAAUGUACCGUCGUAUUUUGUAAUUUAUACGUCGUAGUUAUAUGUAACCGCCAUAUUAUUUUUUUGAAAUGGUUUUAUAUGUAAGCAACUUUUCGUCUACUUGACUUACACAUUUGUUGUUUUUAUAUUCUUAUUUUAUUUAAAUCUGUCAUCCAAAAAAGAAACUUUACAUAUUGCAGAAUAUUAAUUUCCUUCGUUUUAAAUUUCCUCCGGAAAAAAAACUCUAUUUAUAACGCACUGUAAUUGAAAAAUAAACUGAAAGGUCACGGGAAAAAAAAUUCUAUUCAUAAUUUAAAAAUUAAAAUCCACGUCGGUUAUAUUAAACCUAACGACGUUAAAUGAAAUGAUUCCACGUCGAAUGAAAAAUAUUGCGUCGUUUUAGUUAAAAACGACGUAGUUAAAUGUAACCGCCGUAUUAUUUUUUUGAAAUGGUUUUAUAUGUAAGCAACUUUUCGACUUACACAUGCACUGUUUCCAAACCCGAUUAAAAAUUUCAAUCUCCCAGAGAAACCUUUUCGUCUUUUUUCCUUGUCAGAGCAUUGUCAGAGUUUUUCAUCGUCUUCCUCUCGUCUUCUUCGUCGUCUCUGAACUUAAACAUCGAUCAUCUUCCUCUUGCUUUCAUUGCACGCAAAAGGUAAGCUUUCAUUUUCACUAUUUUGGUUACUGUUUUGCAUGCUCAUACGUUUUUUGUUUGAAAAAUCUUUUUACCUUUUUUCUGGCCAAAAUCAUUUUACUUCUUUCCAAGUUUGAUAAAAUAUACAGACAAAGAGAGAAAGUUUCCAACUUUGAAGACAACUACAUCAACUAAAUAAGACGACGGUAGACCACGACGGUUCGUCAGUUGUUCUAGCGUCGUCUGAAAAUUGACAAAGUUGUUUUUAAAAUAAUAGUCUUUUUUUAUAUGCUUGUUUAAUUGCAGGUUUGAUUUCGCUGAACAAUGGUUUUUGUUUUUCCCUUAUUUGAUAAAAUAUAAAGAAAAAGAAACUAGGGUUGGUAUCUAAUAUAGACGAUAAAAUAUAAAUAAUAGUUUACCACGACGGUGUAUUACUAUUGACGUCGUGUGAACAUAUAUACCACGACGUUAUAUAAAUAAUGGUUUUAAACAUUUAUUACGUCUGAGAUUAUUUCAUUGCGUCGUCUAAAAUCAUAUCAUACGUCGUAUUUUUUUAAUACCGUCGUUUGUGUUCUUAAUGUUUUCCUGAAAUAUUUUCACUUGCAGUUUUGUCUGUUAAAAUGGUUUCUCAACAACAAACUAAGGAUUCUGGCUCCAAGAAGCUUGGAAUGGUAGCUCCUCAAGAUAAGUCUUCGAAGGAGAUGAAGUCUUCGAAGAAGAUGAAGUUUGCUUCAUCAUCUGCUGAGACAGAACAAACCAGCCAGACAACAAUCUCAGAUGAUUCAAAGACUGGUCGAGGUAUGAGCACAAUGCCUCGUGUUGUGAAGAGAAAGCUUCAGAAACUGAGGCCAAUUGUUGAGUACAAUAAAAGGGGGAAAGGUGUUGGCCAAGCACAUAUUGAGAUGCAGUCGUAUAUUGGUGUGUUGGCACGCUCCAGGAUCCCACUUGUGGACAAGAAAUGGUCCCAAAUCCCCAAGGAUAUAAAGGAGCAGAUUUGGGAAGCAGUUGACAUGGCUUUUGUCGUAGGCCAAGGGGGCAAGACCUCUGUUUUAGCUUCUGCUUCCAAGAAAUGGAAGGAUUUCAAGUCUACACUAACGAGGCAUUAUAUCCUUCCAUACACCAAUGACAGGGAGAAAUUAAGCCAACCCCCUGAAACAUAUAAAUUCAUAGAGAAAGCACAAUGGGAUGCCUUUGUAGCUUCAAGGCUAUCCAAAGAUUUUGAGUCUGUGCAUUCUCAACAUGCACAGAUUAGGGAGAAACUCGAGUACAAUCAUCGAUUGUCUCGAAAAGGAUAUGCUGGAUUGGAGGAUCAAUUGGAGGAAACCAUGCCUGGGGUAGAAAUUGAUCGAUCUACCUUAUGGAAGAGAGCUAGACAGGACAAACAUGGUAACAUCCCUGAUCCAAAGGUGGCAGAGAAAGCAAAAUUAAUUGUAAGCCUACUAUCACUCUGUUUUAAAUUUUUAUUAAACUGUGAAUUAUUCUUAUUACGUCGUAUGUUAUAUUUUUCGUCGUGUGAAUGAUAUUACCACGUCGAAAAGUUUUUAAAAACGUCGUUAAAGGUCUAAAUAGGAAUCACUACUAUGUUUUCUGUAAUUACAGCAUAAGACGUCGGUGGUUCAUUUUCGCGUCGUGUGAAUGAUAUUACCACGUCGAAAAUUUUUUAAAAACGUCGUUAACGGUCUAAAUAGGAAUCACUACUCUGUUAUCUUUAAUUAUAGCAUAAGACGUCGGUUGUUUAUUCAUUUCGUCGUUUUAAAUAAAUAACCACGUCGGUAUAACUACCGUCGUGAUAAGUUAUAAUAACGUCGGUUUAUACGUUAUUGCGUCGUGUGAAAUUAUAUAAUACGUCGUUUGUACAUAAAUAACCGUCGUGUGUUUUUUUGUUUAUCUUUUUUUAGGAUGAAUUGCAGAAACAAGUCUCGGAAGGCAAAGUCAGAGUAGAUGGCAGCAAUGAUGUGCUGACCAUGGCUUUGGGCCCCGAGCAUCCAGGCAGACUGAGGGGAGUUGGUGCUGGUGUUUCCCCAAGGCAAUAUUUCAAUUUGCCCAAACCACAGAGGGUGAGCUUUGACGACCGUUUGAAGGACAGUUUAAGAGUUCUCCUUCAAGAAGAGACUAAAAAGAUGGAGGCUAAGGCAAGGGAAGAGGCCUUAAGGAUGGAGGCUAGGACAAAACAAUUGGUAGAGGCUGAGAGGGAGCAUUUCCUGAGUCAGCUUUCCCAAUUAAUUCCCAAUUUUGAUCCAAGCAUGCUUAAACCAAGAAUUAGCCAAAGCCCCAAAAAUCCAAUGUCUGACAAAGCUAGCUGCUCUGGAGGUGAUGUGAGAUCCCUACAUUUGGAGGAUGAUACUGCCAAAAUGGGGAAACAUCAGCCAGAUGAAGAGAAGGAAGAAGAAAAAAGAGAUGAAGAGAAGGAAGAAGAAAAGGAGAAAGAAGAUGAAGAAAAGCAUGACGACAAGGUAUGUUCACAUAACUUUGCCUUUUUUAUUUGUUUUUCAAAAUUUCAGACGUCGAUAUUUUUAUUUAAUCCGUCGUUUGUUUAAAACUUAGACGGCGGAAUUUUUUUAAGACGUAAUAAAAUAUUUAAACGACGGUUUUUGCACCGUCGUUUAAAUGGUUUCAGACGACGCUUUAUUCAUAAAACCGUCGUCUUUAUUGAAUUACCACGACAGUUUUUUCACCGUCGUUUAAAUACUUUUAAGACGACGUUUUAUUACUUAAACCGUCGUCUUUAUUGAAUUACCACGUCAUUUUUUUUAUUUCUUUAAACAGGUUAUUGAAGUUGGUGCUUAUUCAAAAAUGGAGGCGCCAUCUUCUUUAAAAACCCUUUGUCGUUUUGUGGAAACGACACUCCUGCCUGAGGAUAAGACACUCCAAUUUACAAUUGAUAAGGAGGUGUUUGGUGGUGAGCGCGAUACCUUCCUCCUGCCUGAAGAUAUUACACAAUUUGCAGGCAUGGAAGAAAUUGGAGCUACUGUAUUGGCUGUAUAUAUGAGGUUUGUACUUCUAAAAUAAUACCUCGUUGGUUUAUAUAUUGCGUCGUCUUAACUAACUAACCACGUCGUCUUAACUAACUACCGUCGUGAUAAAUAUAUUAUAACGUCCUCAUCUAUUUCAGUACGUCGUGUGAAAUAUUAUAAUACGUCGUUUUUUUAUACAUAACCGUCGUGUUUGUUUGUGCUGACUUGUUUAUAUUAUUUUAUGUAUUUAGGUACUUACACGAUGUUUUGAAACAAGCCAAUAUGUGCAGCAUGGUUGGCUUUAUUGACCCUGCUACAGUUAGUGCCAACUCUGGCACAAUAACUGAAAGAUCACGACUGGUAGCAGCUCGACUUCAGAAGACAGACGGUGAACAGCUUUUCAUGAUGCCUUACAAUCCAGGGUUAGUCUCCUUAGGAUUUUGUUUUUAUGAUUUUCAAUAAAUGACAGCUUAUAAACUAACCACGUCGGUGUUUUAUUUUAUUUAGUCGUUUGAAACUACUAACCACGUCGGUAUUUAUUUGUCGUCGUGAUAAAUAUAUAAUGUUGUCGUUAUCUACUUUAUUUCGUCGUGUGAAAUACUAUAAUACGUCGUUUUUGUAAAUAACCGUCGUUUUUAUAUUAAUUUUGUGCAGCCGUCAUUGGAUCCUGCUGAUUGUAAGAGCAAAGAAGGAGACCGUCUAUUUUCUGGAUCCUCUGCCAGGUCAUCGUGUGGUCGACGAAGAGGCGAAAAACAUCGUGAACAGUGCUUUAAAAAUAUAUAAUACCCACAUAGGCCGAGCAGGACGUAAAAAUGUAAUUUGAAAAACUCUCUCAGGCACACCAAAGCAACCCAGCAAUGUCGAAUGCGGGUAUUAUGUGAUGCGCUUCAUGAGGGACAUCAUCAUGGAUCCUUCCUUGGGGUUUGAGAAUAAGGUAAGAAGAAAUUACCUUCAUACAUUUCACGUCGUUUUUUGUAUUAUCAACGACGGUCAUGUAAAAUUAACGUCGUUGAAUGGAUAUACUACGUCGGUUAUGAAAAAUAUCGUCGUCUGUGAUUGAAUUUCUUUUUAUUUAUAAACCCUAAUAGUCAUUGUUUAUGCAGUAUGCCAAGGGAAACCAGGAAGCUUCAUACCCCCAAGAAGCCAUUGAUGAAGUCCGGAAUGAAUGGGCAGAGUUUGUUUUCCAAAUUAUUAAACAGGGCAAUUAUUGAACACUUGAUAUUUAUGUAUAAUGUACCAAUUUUCUCUAUAAUAUGUAAUGUAAAAAUUUGUUGAGGUUUUCUUAAAUUAAAAAAAAAACAAACAUACAAAUUGCUUAACCGACGUGUAAUACUUUUCCAACGACCUAAUAAAGUCACAAACCGUCGUAUUUUGUUGUUUCGUGUUUUAAACAAUUACGACGUAAAAAAAUAGUUAGACGACGUUCUUUGAACAAUUGAGUCGUUAAUGGUUUACAAUAUCUUCAAUUUCUUAAGGGUUCAGGGUAUAAUCGACGACGUUUAUGUAACGACUGCGGUUAAGUCGUAAAAUAUAUAUUUUACGUCGUAUAGUUAAAUAGCCGCCAUGGUUUUUCAUUUUAACGACGUCAUUUUAACGACUUAGUAGUCUAUUACAAUUUACAACGUCUACAAUUUAUUAACACCGACGUGGUUUGUUGUUGUGGUAAGAAUAUUUUAUUAUUUUUAUAUCAAAAUAUUCAAAAUAAAUUUAAAAUAAAUCAGAAAAUUGAAAAGUCAACUCCUAUGAAGUCAUUGAUAUAUUUUCUUCCACAUAAACCUUGAAAAAAUUCAUUUUGAAUAACAAAAAUUUAAAAUGACCAUCCAAAACAAAAUUGUUUUGAUGACUCAUAAAAUCACUUCUAGUUUUAUGGUUUAGGGUUUAGAGUCUAGGGUUUAGAGAUUAGGGUUGUUAUUUAUUGGGGUUUAUUUUUAAAGUAUAAUUUUUGGGUAGUCUAGGGUAUAUGUUAGGCUUUAAAACCAUAAAACCUUUUAUAAACUUAAUUUUUUAAAUUGUAUAAUUUAAUUUUAUGGGUUUAGGGUAUUAAUUUUUAACGACGGUGGUUGGGUCGUGGAAUACAUAUUUUACGUCGUACAGUAAAACAUACGACAUGGUUUACGCUUUAAACGACGUCAUUUUAAUAUGUAAGUCGGUUUAUAUAAUUUACAACGUCAACGUCUUUAAUUUCUUAACACCGACGUGGUUUUUCAGUCGUCGUUAUAUAAAAAAUUCAAAAUAAAUUUAAAAUUAAUCCGAAAAAUGAACGGCCUUACGUUCUUAAUCCGAAAAAUGAAGUUUCCGUCGUGGAAUAUUAAAUUUACGUCGGUACUUGUAGAACUUUCGCCUUGGUUUUUCUUUCGACGUUUUAAAACGCGCGCGCUCUAAAAAUUUUCGCGCGACCUAAACUUUUUUAGAUUUGGCUCUUAUUCUUAUACUUCGAACCCUGAAACCUAAAANNNNNNNNNNNNNNNNNNNNNNNNNNNNNNNNNNNNNNNNNNNNNNNNNNNNNNNNNNNNNNNNNNNNNNNNNNNNNNNNNNNNNNNNNNNNNNNNNNNNNNNNNNNNNNNNNNNNNNNNNNNNNNNNNNNNNNNNNNNNNNNNNNNNNNNNNNNNNNNNNNNNNNNNNNNNNNNNNNNNNNNNNNNNNNNNNNNNNNNNNNNNNNNNNNNNNNNNNNNNNNNNNNNNNNNNNNNNNNNNNNNNNNNNNNNNNNNNNNNNNNNNNNNNNNNNNNNNNNNNNNNNNNNNNNNNNNNNNNNNNNNNNNNNNNNNNNNNNNNNNNNNNNNNNNNNNNNNNNNNNNNNNNNNNNNNNNNNNNNNNNNNNNNNNNNNNNNNNNNNNNNNNNNNNNNNNNNNNNNNNNNNNNNNNNNNNNNNNNNNNNNNNNNNNNNNNNNNNNNNNNNNNNNNNNNNNNNNNNNNNNNNNNNNNNNNNNNNNNNNNNNNNNNNNNNNNNNNNNNNNNNNNNNNNNNNNNNNNNNNNNNNNNNNNNNNNNNNNNNNNNNNNNNNNNNNNNNNNNNNNNNNNNNNNNNNNNNNNNNNNNNNNNNNNNNNNNNNNNNNNNCUGUUUUUGUUUAAAACCCGUCGUCUCAUGUUGUUUAUACCUUGCGAUUAGAUCAUGUAUAAUCUGCUAUAGUGAUGGUCAUGCCUGUAUUUUCACUUUUAUAUAGAUAAUAGGUUAUAGUGUCGGAGAUGGAUAAGUCAUGGAUGCACUCGGAUAGAAGAUCGAAGGCAUAUGAGUUUGGGGUGGAAGCAUUUUUGAACUUUGCUGUAGAAAAUCUUCUAACUACAACACAUAUCCGUUGUCCAUGUGUUAAAUGUGUUAAUUUGAAGUUGUUUGGGGUUGGAAUUAUAAGGGAUCACUUAUACUUUAAUGGAAUUGACCAAAGCUAUAAGAAUUGGACAUUUCACGGAGAACCUUGGGAAGCAACUACUAAUGCUAGCAGAAAUGUUGAAGAAGAUGAUGGCCAUAGUAGGUACAGUUUUGUGUCUGAAGAAAUUGAUAUGGAUGAUAAUGAUUUUGGUGAUUUUGGUUCGGAUCCGUAUGAGUUUGCCAAUGUGAUUGGGGAUGGAGAUCAACCAGUGUACCCUGGUUGUAGAAAGUACACGAAGUUAUCGGCAUUAGUGAAGUUGUAUAAUUUGAAGGCAAAACAUGGGAUGAGUGAUGUCUGUUUUACAGAAUUAUUGAUACUUCAAGGCGAUUUGCUUCCAGAAGGAAAUACAAUACCAACCUCCAUGUAUGAGGCUAAAAAGACUUUGUGUGCAUUGGGGCUGAGUUAUGAGAAAAUGCACGCAUGCCCCAAUGAUUGCAUCUUGUAUAGGAAGGAGUAUGAGGAUUCAACUAAUUGUCCUACUUGUGGUAUCUCAAGGUGGAAGGAAGGCAAAGAUGCAAUCUUGAAAGAGGGUGUGCCAGCGAAGGUGGUGUGGUAUUUUCCCCCAAUUCCAAGGUUUAAAAGGAUGUUUCAAUCACAUGAGACAGCUAAGAGUUUGACUUGGUGGCAUGUUGCUAGAAAAUCAAUUGACGGUCAGAUGUCUCAUCCGGCGGAUUCCCCGUCUUGGAAACUUCUUGAUGAUAAAUGGCCUGAGUUUGGUAAUGAGCCGAGAAACUUGAGAUUGGCUCUUUCAUCUGAUGGAUUCAAUCCCCACAGUUCUCUAAGUAGCAGAUAUAGUUGUUGGCCGGUUAUCUUAGUUACAUAUAAUCUCCCUCCAUGGCUGUGCAUGAAACGAAAGUUCAUGAUGUUAACCUUAUUGAUUUCCGAUCCUAAACAACCCGGAAAUGAUAUAGACGUCUACUUGGAGCCUUUGAUUGAUGAUUUAAAAUCCUUGUGGGUUGGGAUUAGAGGAGUGUAUGAUGCACAUAAUGGAGAAUACUUUACACUCAGAGCUGCAUUAAUGUGGACAAUUAAUGAUUUCCCCGCCUAUGGAAACUUAUCUGGUUGUGUUGUUAAAGGAUAUAAAGCUUGUCCAAUAUGCGGCGAUGAUACACCUAGUCAAACAAAUAUUUUUUGUUGACGACCCGAUGCAUCGUGGUUGGUCGUGUAGGCGUGUGAGUGUGUGUUUGUGUUUGUUUUUGUGUGUGUGUGUGUGUGUGUGUGUGGUGUGUGUGUGUGUGUGUGUACCAUUACUNNNNNNNNNNNNNNNNNNNNNNNNNNNNNNNNNNNNNNNNNNNNNNNNNNNNNNNNNNNNNNNNNNNNNNNNNNNNNNNNNNNNNNNNNNNNNNNNNNNNAUGUAAUUGGCAGUGUAUGACAUUAAUUUUGUAAUAUAUUGUAAUGUGAUUUCUUCACUUUCUACGUUCAAAUAAAACACGACGUUAUUGUGAAUCAGUUAUUCAGCAUAUUUACCGACGUCUUAAAGCAACGUAACAAUGAAGAACCACGACGCUAUUGUGAAGCAAUUAUUCAGGAUAUCACGUCGGUGAAGGAUAAAGAACCGCCAUGUAAUUCAAAAUAACACGACUCCAAUCCCAUAAUACCGACGUCUAAAAAACGAGAUAUGUAAUCUGAACGUUAAAAAAUACGACGUCAUCAUACAUUUUCCACGUCGCAAGUUCUUUUAUAAACGAAGAGGAACGAAAUUAAUUCCGACGGAAAUUCAUUAUAACCGCCGUCUAAUAACAAUUAAACGACGUUAUUUGUAAUACGGCUCCCAUCAUAAUCUACGCCGUCUAUAUGUUCUGUAAUACGGCUCUCAUUUAUUUGGAACCGACGUUGUUUAGACGUUCAACGUCGUCUAUAUUAUUAAGUGCGUCGUGAGUAAUGAAUACAUAUAAAUACAACGUCGACUAUAUAAAUGUAUACGUCGUAAAUAAUGACACUGACAACUAUUUCCACGUCAUCUUUUUUAGAUAAAAUCGAAGUGGAAAAUUUAUUUCACGACGGUUUUUUGUAAAUAAGAGACGUUGUAGAACUUUAGCAGACUAAACACGUCUGUUUUUAUUGUUUUCCGACGUUGUUGUAUUUAACAACGUCUAAUAUUUAUGGUCGUUGUUUGUUUCUGAAAAUAGGACGUAUAAAUUUUUUAAUACGACUCUCAUAUAUUUGUAACUGACGUUGUUUAGUUUUUCAACGUCUACUAUAGAAACACAUACGUCGUAAAUAAUGACACUGACAACUAUUUCCACGUCAUCUUUUAUCAAAAAAUCGAAGUGGAAAAUUAAUUGUACGACGGUUGUGUUUAUAUGUGCGACGUAGUAGGUAUCAAUAACAUCGUCUUCUAAUGUAUUUAAAGACGUCAUAUUUUUUAUUGUCGUGAAAAUUAUAUUUAACGUCGGCGUAUUUUUAUUGUCGUCGUUGUAUGUCUAUCUUGCGGCCUUGUUCUCUUAAUAUGUGUCAUAUUUUCCCUUUUUAACGACGGUCUUUUUAGAGAAUUGGUCGUCUAUUAUCAUCAUCGAUUGCUUUUUUUAGAUCUUUUUGCAGUACAAAGACGUCGUUUUGUAUUUUUUGAUGACGUUGUAUUGUUUAACAACGACGGUUAUUUAGCGUCGUGGUUUAUGAGGGAAAAGAUGACGGUGGAUUCCACGACCAUUGAAAAACCAAAUACACGACGGUGAUUUACCGUCGUCUUUUUGCUUUUUUGUAGUAGUGAUCGGAAACUUGACUAAUUAGAAUACAACAUAUGUCGAAAUAUUUUUAUCAUAAAUGGUCUCUAAGGUUCGUGAAAUUAUUAGCUUUAGUCCUUCAUGUUUUUUUGUGACAUCAUUGGUCCUUUAUGUUACUCCUCUUCACACAUCAAUUUGGUUCUGCCGUUUGGAUUCGUCAAAAUUUAUGUUAAAUUGAUGGCAUGACAUGUAUAUGGUGCCUACAUAUCCAAUGAGAUAAUGACCCGUGGAUCUAAGUAAAAAAUUUGUUUUAAAAAAAUAGUUUCAUAUUUAAAAUUUUUAAAGGGCGAAGACUCAUUGGGUAACUCGAAGUUUGGGUUGUUGAAGCCUUCAAGCAUGGUUUUGCUCACAAAAGAUUGGAACGCAAUGUGUUGGGUUGAGCACUGAAAACCAAAGAAUAUCAAAAAUGUAGUAGGGGGGAGAGAGAGAGAGAGANNNNNNNNNNNNNNNNNNNNNNNNNNNNNNNNNNNNNNNNNNNNNNNNNNNNNNNNNNNNNNNNNNNNNNNNNNNNNNNNNNNNNNNNNNNNNNNNNNNNACCUCAUGUCAGCACUUAAUAGAAAAUUUGACGGACCCUAACGGCAUGGAUCAAAUUGAUGUGUGGUGUGUAACAAAAAGGAUCAAUAAUGUCACAAAAAACAUAAAGGACCAAAGUUGAUAAUUUUGCGAACCUUAUACACCAUUUAUGAUAAAAACCCUAUAUUGUAUAAUUUUAGUGUGUUUUUUUCUUAAAUGCUAUUGAGAAGAGAUUUUAUAAAACUGCUAUAUAAAAGGUUCACCACAAUGCUAUAAAACAAUAGUAGAUUAUGGCUCUCAGAUGUUUUCAUCUUCUUAUUCAUCCAAGCAGAUCGAUAACAUAUGGUCACUACUGACUUUUUCUUGUAGUUCUCAACAUCCAUCUUUCAAGCCAUCAACCAAGUUGUUGCAUUGCUCCUCACUGUUAGAAAAGCCUCGUUUCCCUCCUCCUCCUCCAUUGAUUGAAGGAGAGACAACAAAAGCAACUUAUGAAACAAGCCCCUCAUUUCCUUGUUAAACAUAAAUCGACCCAUUAUUGAUGAGGACUGAGAAUCUAAGAGCACACUAGUAAUUAACCUGAGUGGGGAAUAUGGAUGAUGGAUCUCUCUCUCUCUCUCUCUCUCUUGAAAAAAUCAACUUCAUUAUCCUUGGUGAAUUUGUUCUGAAUUAGUCGUGUCCAGCUACAAGCAAUACUGUACGUAGUAUAUUAUUCUCUGCAUUUGUGCAUGCCAACAACAAACAAAUAUUAUUCUCUAUUAUAGCAUAUAGGCCGUCAUUUUCAAUCCUUAUAAGAGAAAACUUGCUUCGCCAUAAGAGUACGUAGCUUGGCAAGCAAGGUAAGGGUACUUCAAAAGAUUCCUUCCAUCAUCUAUAUAAGACACAUGUGACAUUGCAUGUCUCAUCAAUCAUGUUAAGAUAAAGCUAGCUGGCAAGGCAAAUUACCAACCUUUAUGCUCGAGUAUAUUAUUCCAAGCAGAUAUAAAUGUUAAUAUAUGUGAAGAAUAUUAUGAUCAAUAUAGAAUAUGUAUCAUGAUCAGUUAUGGUAUCGACUGUCAGAAAAUAUCAUCCGCAUAUGUGCAUACCAACAUUAUCGAAAGACAGUAGGAGUAUCGUCAUAUCCGAUACAAGUAUCGGAGCAUGGGUAAGAGUAUAUAUACAAGCAUACCCGUCCAAUUAGGAGAAUCAGUGCAACAUAGAUGAAAAGAAAUUAGAUGUGAUUUCACAUAUUUUUAAAGAAUAGGGGAAAUAAACCAAUUAAUCUCUUUUGUCUUCUCCAUACAUUUUUGGUUGUGAAUUUUGGUUUUCGAAGAAUUUGGCAUUUCAAGCAACUUGGAAAACAUUUUGAUGAUCCAUUGAACCUUGUUAAAGUCGAUAUUCAAUCUCUAUGGACUUUGGCCGAAAUGUCUCAUUUCAAUUGGAAAGUGACAUUGAGAUUUGAAAAGACUAGACAUUAAGGUGGCAAGAGAAGUCUAAAAGGAUCAAACAGAAAAAAAUAAUGAAAAAUUGAAAAUAACCUAGAAAGGGGAGAAAAAAUUAGUUGCAAUAGGGAUAAUAAUGUUUGAGUAAUGCUAAACGAACUCUAAAAUUAACUUAGUACACCCUACUAUCAAACUAUUUAUUGAAUUACUAAUUUACCCUAAUAUAAAAUGACCAAAAAGGAUAUAUUGAAUUGUGCAGCAAAUGUAAUUUUAAUAAGUACACAUUACUCACCAUAUUCAACCCUAAUAUUCGAUGGAGGCGACAUUGAAUGCUAUGAAUCCAACCCAAACCCACCACCACCGUCCCUCUCUCUCUCUCUCUCUCUCUCUCUCUCUCUCUCUCUCUCUCUCUCACAAAUUAUCUUAUUUGCUCUAAAUUUUUUGCAAUGAGUCAGAAUCUUCUAUGUGUAUGUGGCAUUCGUUCAUUAGACUUGGUUAAUGCAUUCAACCCACCCAAAACAAUAAUCAUUUGAUGUUCAUCCUCGAUGUUGGUGGUUUCAAGUGAGCAUGUUCCCAAACGGCUCUUACACUUGCCCACUAGAACUCCAGCUCCUCACCCUCUGAUGAAUCUAAUGACAAUUAUGUUGUUGUUUGCACCAUAAACACCAACUUCCAACAACUCCAAUACAACCUAUUUCUUCUUAAUUAGAUACCUUGGGGGUUGAUAGCAACCUCAAUAGUCUAAGAAACAAACCCACUUCGGAAUUUUCCUUCUUCCACUAGUUGAAGGGAGAUGGGUUCCAACACGAUAUUACGCGCUUAUUAGAAUCUUAUACUCGUCGAGUCUGGGUUGGCUGGUGAUAAGCAGGGGAAGGGUGGAGUUGGGUUGUGUUAGAGAGAGAGAGAGAGAGAGAGAGAGAGAGAGAGAGAGAGAGAAAGAGAAAGAGAGAGAGAAGGGCGGUAGUGGUUGGGUUGGGUUGGAUGCGAAAGGGCUUAAAUCAGAGGAGGAAGGACGGGUUUGGCUGGGUGGGUGACAGGACCCGACCCAAUUUCCGCUUUGGAAUCCGAGCUGAAUCCUGUGCGUGUCCGACACCUGGCGAAUGUCGGGCACGAAUGACCUUUUUACCCUUCUCUUUUCAAAUUCUUUUUUUUUUUAAACUUCCCUUAGACUUCUACCGAAAAUUCGACAGAGUCUCCCCUGUAUUUUGACCAAACCCAAAGUCUUCCACCUGUCAAACAGUCUCAAAUAACACACCAACUACCAGACUAACUCAACCAACAGAUCUCAACUCCAGUUUCUCAUGUUCAACAAGAUAUCAAAGCAUUUCUAUACAAAUUUACAGAACUAUGAGAAAGUUACAACGAGAUCCUACACUUUGGGGGUGGGGCGAAAGCUGGGAAGAUGGCCCGAGUGGUUUCCUUCGUACUUCUAUGGCCUGGGGGCGAAAAACAAGGUUAAAAUUGUGAGUGGACAAAAAUAAAAUUCUUUAAAACAAAAACAAGUUAGAACAUAAUAACCCCCGUUUUGAAAUACUAGGGAUAUAAAUCGUUAAUUUAGCUAUAUUUCAAUAUAAGGAAUUCAAUAAACAUGAAUAAAUAUACUGACGAAUAAACUUGCAUAACUGAUCAAAUAUAUAUAAAGAUAAUAACGCAUGAAUAUCAAGAAACUGGUAUAAAAUCACGGGAAAUCAUAACUGGAUAAAAGAGCUCAAAAUCCUUUGAAACUACCACCUAGAUGUACCCCUGUCAUAUCCGUCAAUUCCCCUGGCAGGUCUCGGGCGUCACGCAGUCUACCCGAGCCGCAAACUGGCGAAAUCAAGGGACUAUGAUCAGCCUGAUCCGCCGGCAGGUCUCGAUGACACCAAGUCGACUCGAGCCGCUCUGGCAGGAUGCAGGGGACCGCAGUCAGCCUGAUCCGCAAUCCUGGCAGGUCUCGGGGACACAGAGUCAGCCGAGCCGCAAAUCCUGGCAGGUCUCGGGACACCAAGUCUGCCGAGCCGCAAAUUCUGGCACUCACGGUCCGAGCGUCCCCGAAACUCGUGAGGCAAAGUCAAGUGCACUGACGUAACUGAAAUCAGACUGGAUGUUCGUAGACAUCGGUCCGACUGUGGGUAAUCACCAUAAAUAGAUGGGUACAUGGUGGUUUAACAAGAAAUUCUGAUAACUCUCUGAAAUCUGAUAAGUCUGAACUAAAUUACUAUCUUUGUAUCAAAAGUCUCAAGUUUACUGCUCAACCAAUAUUAUAAAAAUAAAGAUAUUUCACAAUGCAAAUCAUGCUUCGAAAUUACGUAAUAACACUUAUUCAAGAUCAAAUAGAAAAUAUAAUUAUAAAAUCUUUUAGGAAAGAAAAGUCCACUCACUGUUGGUCCGAGCUAUCUGGACCCUUCGAAGAUCCCUCAUGUGGGUCAACUGGACCUCUGGUGCCUUACUCGAUUGAUUUGGUGGAGAAUUGAAGGAGAACGAAGGAGAUGAAGUUUGGAUGAAAAACAGGCGGAAAUCGCCAGUUUCCGGCCAAUUCCCGGCGGUCCAAGGCCGGCGACGGGUCGAGGAAGGGAGGCGGCGGCGAGGCGGACCGAUUGACACCAACGGCGGAGGUCGCCGUGCCCUGUAGCGACGGCACGCUCGAUCUGAAACAGGGAGGGGGGCGGCGGUUGCGACGGGAGAGAGAGAGAGAGAGGAGAGAGAAAUGAGGAGAGAGAAGAGAGAAGGAAGAGAUAAAAUCUGACUUUUUUUUCAAAUUACCGUUUUGCCCUUCGAGGUAAUUUAAUCGUAUCUUCUUCAUUACAAUUCCAAUUCGGGUCUACUCCGUGUCUACGGACUCGUUUCGCCGUGCUCUACGCAACGGCGCAAGCGAAAUUCUCAAAUUCUUUCUUGAUCAAAAAGUCAAAUUUUCCCCUAUUAAAAUAUGCGAGGGCAAAAUCGUCUUUUGGGUAGAAUAAAGAAAUCCUAAUUUUUAGAUAUUUUAGUUUGGGUUAUUACAGUGGGGGGUGGAGAGAUGAUGGGAGGUCGAUUUAACAGGGUUAAGUGUUGUUAAGUGGUUUACCACAUGUCAAAAAAAUAGAAGGAAAACAUGUCGGGCACAUGGCAUUUGGUAACAGUAAAAUUGGACUCAUGAAUGAGUUAGGUGUUGUGUGAUAGAGUGUAUUAGGGUGUACCAUGGGUAUUUUUAGUAGUUAAAUAGGAUGUACUGAGUUAAUUUUAUAAUUUGAUUUAAAUAUUAGGGUAUACUUAGAUCAUAGGGUGUACUCAGUUAAUUUUAAGGUUUGUUUAGCAACAUUCUAAUGUUUUGUUAUCCCCGGUCAAUAAUUUUAUAUCGUGUGGCUUAGAAGGAGGCCUGUUAUCCAACUCAUCUGGUCCACCGUCCAUGAUAUGAACCCGACUUGAGAAUCUUUUGGUGAAGUAGAACAACCCAACUUGAGAGUUGAGGCAGCCAAACUAGAAGGGAAGCAUCCCCACUCCAGUCCCGCUCCCCAUGUGCCCAAUACUUUGCUUGUUUACUUCACCUUUUAAACCUUUUAGGAUUUUCCAUAGGCUAAGAGGAAAACAACAACAUUACGGCCCAGUUUACGAAUGGAUUCGAGGGGAAAUUACUUCCCAUGCCAUUUUUUAAGGGAUGGAAAAUGGAGAUUCAUUUCCCAUAUUUGAUAAUCCUAGGAAAGUAACUAAGAAAUACUACUUUAUUUCCUUUCACAUAUUUGGUUUGUGUAGGAAUGUAAAACAAAGUUAGUUUAAUUUUUCAAUUAUAUCCAUAUGAAAUUAAAUUUUAAAAAAAAUGUAUUUAAUGCUAUAUUGUUAAUGGGGACAAUAUGGUCAUGAAAAAUGUGUAUUUAAUGUUGGCUAAUUUUCUCAAACUUUCUCAUGUGCAAGACAACGAUUUCUCAUGCCUAGACUUACCAAAUAUGGGAAAGCAAUUGAUUUCUCAUCACCAAGCCUCCUUUCCCAUGAACCAAACAGGACCUACAAGUUAUUAGCUUCAAGCCUUCAAGGAUUUUCAUAACAAAUCUUCCAAUCUCACACAAAAAUAAAAAAGCAUCCAUGUAUGUAAUUUCUAGAUUAAAAUCUCACUUUUUAGGCAUUCCAUUUUCUUAGGAUUAGGUAUUACUACGCACGGACAAUCUUACGAUUAUCUGCAAUUCAUCCUUCAAUAGCUAUGGACGUUAUAUCAAAUCAACAAUAAGACGUACAUUUCUUCAAAGAACUAAAUCAUGCGGAUGUCAACUUGCUCUCACUUAUAUGUUUGUCUCUCCAUAUGAGGAAGGGUGUUUAGCUUAAGGUUUUAGGGCGCGGUUGUCUAAGAACAAUAAGGUGAACAUGUUUUGUCAAAGUACAUGGGAGACCUUUAUCUUCAAACACAAAAAAUGGCCAAAAUUAAAUUAGCAAGGAUCGACAUAUGGAUGUGAGCUUUUACACAUUGCCACUAAUUCUCUCCAUACUUUUGUUGAAAUCAUUUACAAAAUAAGAAAACUUUAGUAAUUGAAGCGAAAGAGAAGAAUUACCAGAACAGAAAAUAAGAAAAAAGAAGCACCUAACCCAAACUUUAAGUCACGAAUUUAACAGUUUACUUUUUAAAAAAAGUAAGUUACAAAACAAUCCCCUUAUUGAUGAGGAUUGAGAAUUUAAGAGCACUAAUAACUUGAGUGAGGAAUAUUGCACAUGGACGAUGGAUCUCUCUCUCUCUCUUUGAAAAAAAAGAAAAAAGAAACAAAAAUCAACUUCAUUAUCCUUAGUGAAUUUGUUCUGGAUUAGUUGUGUUGCAAUGGAACAUCGAACCUACCUAGCUAAAAGGAAAAAAGAAAGGCCACUACGACAGUACUGCAGUAUAUUAUUCCAAGAAGACAAAUGUAAACUAUAUACGUGAAGAAUAUCUAUUAUUGGUCGUCAUUUUCAAUCCUCAUAAAAGAAAACUUACUUCGCCAUAAUUUCAGGUUGUUCUCAAGGCAGGAAGGUAAGGACACUUGAAAAGAUUCCUUCUCAUCAUCUAUACAAGGAAAUGUGUUCUCAUCAAGCUAGGGGACAAGGCAAAUUAGCAACCUUUAUACUCGAUAUAUUAUUCCAAGCAGAUAUACAUGUGAAGAAUAUUAUGAUCUUGAUCAAUAUGGAAUCAGUGGGUGUAUCGAUCGACCAUCCAAAGAAAAAGGAUAUCCUCUGCAUAUAUGUGUGCAUGCCAACAACUAUAAAAGGAGACCAUGAGGCAAUGAGUUGAUCAUCAAAGCAAACACACAGAUAUCCCAACUAAAAAUCAUUCAGUGAGACAAUGGCUGGAACCAAUGAUAUUAAAAUUAAAGGGUUCGAUUUGAGCAAAAACAGCGGCAACACGUCCGGAUUAACCCACUUCGCCAACAGAGCUGACGAGGGCGACAAGGGCGACAAUAAAAUCGAGGUUGAGGAUGCUAAAGCGCAAGAUAACAAGGGAAACUUGAAAGUACUGACCGACUUCGCCCAACGUGGUAAGGUGGGCCAGUCGGAUCGCCAAGAAAUCACGGGGAGCAAGCCACUUCAGACGGCAGCAUGAAAUUGAUGAAGGCCAUACCAUAAUAAAAUAUCUACACUAAAAUAAGAGCUGAUGCAGUAUCUGAGGCUCCUUCCUUGGUUAGGCCUCAUUAUCAUGUGCAAUACUAAUAUUAUUAUUCUAAUAAAAUAAUGGUAGCUUAUUAUUAAAUAUAUCAAAAUUCUAUACGUAUAACUUUUAGAUUAUUGAUACUGAUGACAUACCAACAAGAGAAAACGAUUCAAAAGUCCUUUCUCCAAUUCGUGAUGUUACAAAAUGAGACGUCAAAUUUAAAAAUAUAGUUGCAUACGAGUAUAAACUGAACCAAUAAGCAAUGUAUGAGUGACCAAAGGUCUCAAACGAUGCAUUUAAGAAGAAGGGUACUAAAUUAAAAGAUGUACGCCAGUGAACUAUGGCAAUCUCUCGUUGCAUGCACGCAUAUGCAAUUGAAGAAGACCUAACUUAUAUCACGAAGAAGUGGAUGGGUCUUUACAUAUGAAGUUUUUAAAAUUAACACUACCGGAAGACAAUAGGAGUAUCGGCGUAUCUGAUACAAGUAUCGGAGUCUCGGAGUAUUAGAUUUGAGCAUACCUGUCCAAAUAGGAGUAUCGGUGCAACAUAGAUGAAAAGGAAUUGGAUGUGAUUUCACAUAUUUUUAAAGAACAGGGGAAAUAAACCAAUUAAUCUCUUUCGUCUUGUCCACACAUUUCUUGUUGCAAAUUUUGGUUUUCAAAAAAUUUGGCAUUUCAAGCAACUUGGAAAACAUUUUGAUGAUCCAUUAUUGAACCUCUAAAGUCGAUAUUCAAUCCCUAUCGACCUUGCUCAAAAAAUGUCUCAUUUCAAUUAGUGCAGAGAAAAAUAAAGGCAGAGUUGAAAAUAGAUUUUUCAGUUUGGAAAGUGACAUUGAGAUGUAAAAAGACUAGACAUUAAGGUGGCAAGAGAGAUCUAACAGGAUCAGACAAAAAAGGAAAAAAAAAUGAAUGAAAAAUAGAAAAUGCCCUAGAAAGGGGAGAACAACUUAGUUGCAAUGGGGAUAACAAUAUCUUGCUAUUACUGGUCAAUAAUUUUAUACCACGUGGCCUAGAAGGAGGCCUGUUAGUCCAACUCAUCUGGUCCACUUCCCAUUAUAUGAACCCGACUUGAGAGUUUUGGUUUUUUGGUUGAAGUAGAACAACCCGACUUGAGAAUUGAGGCAGCCAAACUAGAAGGGAAGCAGCCCACUCCACUCCCGCUCCCCAUGUGCCCAGUACUUCGCUUGUUUACUUCACCUUUUAAACCUUUUAGGAUUUUUUUUAUAGGAUAAGAGGAAAACGACGACAUUACAAGUUAUUACGCAUCAACGUAUGUAAUUUCUAGAUUAAAAUCUCACUUUUUACGCAUGUCAUUAUCUUAGGAUUAUGUAUUACUACGCACUGACAAUCUUACGAUUAUCUGCAAUUCAUCCUUCAAUGACCAAAGACGUUAUAUCAAAUCAACAAUAAGACAUACAUUUCUCCAAAUAACUAAAUUAUGUGGAUUUCAACUUGCUCUCAUUUAUAUGUUUGUCUCUCUCCUCCUAUUGAUUAGCCUCUCCAUAAGAGCAAAUAUGAAAAAAGAAGCUCCCAAUCCGAACUUUAAGUCACAAGUUUAACAGUUUACUUUUAAACAAAAGCAAGUUACGAAACAAUCCCCUGAUUUCCUUGUUAAACAUCAACCGACCCAUUAUUGAUGAGGAUUGAGAAUCUAAGAGCAUAUGGACGAUGGAUCUCUCUCUCUUUUUGAAAACAAAAACAAAAACAAAAAACAAAAAUCAACUUCAUUAUCCUUGGUGAAUUUGUUCUGGAUUAGUUGUUUUGAAUUAGUACAGCUUACGUACGCAAUGGAACAUCGAACUUAGCUAGCUAAAAGGAAAAAAGAAAGGCCACUACUACAGUACCGCAGUAUAUUAUUCCAAGAAGACAAAUGUAAACUAUAUACGUGAAGAAUCUCUAGUAUUGGUCGUCAUUUUCAAUCCUUAUAAAAGAAAGCUUGCUUCGCCAUAAUUUCAGGUUGUUCUCAAGGCAGGCAGAGAGAGUACGUAGCUUGGCAAGAAAGGUAAGGGCACUUCAAAAGAUUGUUUCUCAUCAUCUAUAUGAGGAAAUGUGUUGCCAUCAAGCUAGCGGACAAGGCAAAUUAGCAACCUUUAUACUCGAUAUAUUAUUCCAAGCAGAUAUACAUGUAAAUAUAUGUGAAGAAUAUUAUGAUCAUGAUCAAUAUAGAAUCUGUAUCAUGAUCAGAGGGUAUCGAUCCAGCAUCCAAAGAAAAAGGAUAUACUCUGCAUAUGUGCAUGCCAACAACUAUAAAAGGAGACCAUGAGGCAAUGAGUCGAUCAUCAACGGAAACACACAGAUAUCCCAACUAAAAAUCCAUCGUGAGACAAUGGCUGGAACCAAUGAUAUUAAAAUUAAGGGGUUUGAUUUGAGCAACAACAAAGGCAACACGUCGGGAUUAACCCACUUCGCCAACAGAGCUGACGGGGGCGACAAUGGCAACAAUAAAAUCGAGGUUGAGGAUGCUAAAGGGCAAGGGAACACGGGAAACUUGAAAGUACUGACCGACUUCGCCCAACGCGGUAAAGUGGGCCAGUCGGAUCGCCAAGAACUACUCAAACCUCAGGCAUGAAAUUGAAGAAGGCCAGACCACAACAACUUGUCUGCUUGAUAGAUAUAUGUGCUAAAUUAUCUACACAAAAAUAAGAGCUGAUGUUUUAUCUGAGGCUCCUUCCUUGGUUAGGCCUCGUUAUCAUGUGUAAUAUUAAUAUUAUUAUUCUAAUAAAAUAAUGGUAGCUUAUUAUUAAAUAUAUCAAAAUUCUAUACGUAUAACUUUUAGAUUAUUGAUACUGAUGUCAACAAGAGAAAAUGAUUAAAAAGUCCUUUCUCCAAUUCGUGAUGUUACAAAAUGAGACUUCAAAUUUUAAAACUAUAGUUGCAUACGAGUACAAAACUGAACCAAACAAUGUAUGGGCCAGAGUGACCAAGGAUGUACGCCAGUGAACUAAUGGCAAUCUCUCGUUGCAUGCACGCAUAUGCAAUUGAAGGAGGCAUUAUCUGAGGCUCCUUCCUUGGCUAGGCCUCAUUUUCAAUUUUGAUUUCAACUUUGAUUUUGCUUAAACUUUGAUUUUGAGCUAGACUGUGAUUUCGACUUUGAUCUCCCAAUUCGUGCCUUAAGAAUCAGUUUCUCCCAACUCUAUUUACCAAAACCGAAAACUCUGAACUUUUCAAUUCGUCUGGCUACUCUCAGGGUUUCAUGCCUUAGUUUCCUCUCGCCAAAAAGCCAAAAAGACUUGGCUUUCAUGUAAUGCUAUACUCCUCGAUUGAACAAGCCGCGUCUUCAAAUUCAGCUUUCUCACUUCCUUUCUCUUUACUUUCUUUCUUUUGUUUUCCGGCUGGGAAAAUCAUGGAAGCAUUACAAAUUUAAGAGAAUAUUCUAGUAUUAGGGUCCAAACUGUACUAUUUAGGUAUUUUCAUUCUGAUUAAGAGUUCUUUUCUAGAAAUUUGGGGAAGAAAAAAUAGAGUUUCUGUUUUAGUGUUUGAUUUUCAUUACAGUGAAUUAUGUGAAACCGAAAUGUUUCUUGUCUGAUUUCAUCACUGCUUUCAAAUUGCAAAUUAAGGAUUUGAAGGUUAACAAUGCCCGUCUUUAACAAUGUCGCAUUUCAAUUAGUACAAAAGAAAAAUAAAGGCAUAGUUGAAAAUAGAUUUUUCAGUUUCGAAAGUGACAUUGAGAUUUAAAAAGACUAGACAUUAAGAUGGCAAGAGAGAUCUAAAAGGAUCAAACAAAAAAAGUGAAUGAAAAAUUGAAAAUGCCCUAGAAAGGGAGGAAAUCUUAGUUGCAAUGGGGAUAACAAUGUUUUGCUAUCCUCGAACAAUAAUUUUACACCACGUGACCUAGAAGGAGGCAUGUUAAUCUAACUCAUCUGGUCCACCGUCCAUGAUAUGAACCCGACUUGUGAGUUUUUUUUUUUUUUUGUUGAAGUAGAACAACCAAACUUGAGAGUUGAUGUCACAUCUCAGGAUCGGCUUCACCGUAGCACGAUAUUGUCUGCUUUGGGCCCCCUCGCUGUCCUCGCGGUUUUGUUUCUAGGAGCUCACGAGCAACUUCUCAGUUGGUCACUCAUCUUAGGAUUGCUCUGGCCCAAACUCACUUAACUUCGGAGUUCUCAUGACUCCGAAGCUAGUGAGCUCCUAAAAGGCCUCGUACUAAAUGGAAGUGGGCAUAUAUAUAUAAGGCACAACACCCCAUCUUCGUUGGUUGAUGUGGAAUGUUACAAUCCACCCCCCUUAGAGGUCUGACUUCCUCGUCGGCACACUCUCACCACACGGCAGAGUGGCUCUGAUACCAAACUGUCACAUCCCGGGAACGGCUCCGUCGUAGCACGAUAUUGUCCGCAUUGGGCCAACCUUUCUGCCCUCACGGUUUUGUUACUGGGAGCUCACGAGCAACUUCCCAGUGAAUCACUCAUCCUGGGAUUGCUCUAGCCCAAACUCGCUUCACUUCGGAGUUCCUAUGACUCCGAAGCCAAUUAGCUCCCAAAAGACCUCGUGCUAGAUAAAGGUGGGCACGUACAUAUAAGGCACAUCACCUUCUCUUCGUUGAUCGAUGUGGGAUGUUACAGUUGAGGGCUCCGUUGGUCGAUGUAGGAUGUUACAGUUGAGGCAGCCAAACUAGAAGGGAAGCAACCCAACUCCACUCCCUCUCCCCAUGUGCCCAGUUCUCUGCUCGUUUACUUCACCUUUUAAACAUUUUAGGAUUUUCCAUAAGCAAAGAGGAGAACGACCACAUUACGGUCUCGUUUGGUUCACGAACAGAUUUAAGGGGAAAUAACUUCUCAUGUCAUUUCUCAAGGGAUGAGAAAUGGAGAUUCAUUUCCCAUAUUUGGUAAUCCUAGGAAAAUAACAAAGAAAUACCACUUUAUUUCCUUUCACAUGUUUGGUUUGUCUAGGAAUGUAAAACAAAGUUUGUUUAAUUUUCCAAUUAUACCGAUAUGAAAUCAAAUAAAAAAAGAAUAUUUAAUGUUAUAUUGUAAUUCUAAACUGUUAAUAGGGACAAUAUGAUCAUGAAAAAUGUGUAUUUAAUGUUGGCUCAUUUGCUUAUUUUCCCAAACUUUCACAUGAGGAGGAAAACAAAACCCAAGGGGGGAGGAUGGCUUCACUUUCCCCUCUACUUUCCCAUGUACAAGGCAACGAUUUCUCAAGUCUGGACUUACCAUACAUGGGAAAGAAAUUAAUUUCUCAUCCCCAAGUCAUUUUUCCCAUAAACCAAACGGAGCCUACAGGUUAUAAGCUUCAACCUUUAAGGAUUUUCAUAACAAAUCUUGCAAUCUCAUACCAAGGAAAUAAAAAUAAAAAAAAGGAUCCAUGCGUGUAAUUUCUAGAUUAAAAUCUCACUUUUUACGCAUGCCAUUAUCUAAGGAUUAGGUAUGACUACACACGAACAAUCUUACAAUUAUCUGCAAUUCGUCCUUCAAUGGCCAAAGACGUUAUAUCAAAUGAACAAUAAGACGUACAUUUCUUCAAAGAACUAAAUUAUGUGGAUUUCAACUUGCUCUCACUUAUAUGUUUCUCUCUCUCCUCCUAUUGUUUAGCUUAAGGUUUUAGGGCGUGGUUGUCUAAGAACAAUAAGGUAAACAUGCUUACAAAAAAAGAUGGACAGCAAGGAUGGACAUAUGCGAAUGUGAGCUUUUACACAUUGCCACUAAUUUUCUCCAUGAUUUUGUUGAAAUCAUUAACAAAAUAAGAAACUUUAGUAAUUGAAGCGAAAGAGACUAAUUAUCAGAAGAGAAAAUAUGAAAAAAGAAGCUCCCAAUCCAAACUUUAAGUCACAAGUUUAACAGUUUACUUUAAAACAAAAGCAAGUUACGAAACAAUCCCCUGAUUUCCUUGUUAAACAUCAACCGACCCAUUAUUGAUGAGGAUUGAGAAUCUAAGAGCAUAUGGACGAUGGAUCUCUCUCUCUUUUUGAAAACAAAAACAAAAACAAAAAUCAACUUCAUUAUCCUUAGUGAAUUUGUUCGGGAUUAGUUGUGUUGAAUUAGUACAGCUUACUUACGCAAUCGAAUAUCAAACCUAGCUAGCUAAAAAGAGAAAAAGAAAGGCCACAACGACAGUACUGUAGUAUACGUGAAGAAUCUUAUGAUCUAUAAUAUUCUGUAUUAUUGGCCAUCAUUUUCAAUCCUUAUUAAAGAAAACUUGCUUCGCCAUAAUUUCAAGUUGUUCUGAAGGCAGGCAUAGAGAGCACGUAGCUUGGCAAGGGAGGUAAGGGCACUUCGAAAGAUUCCUUCUCAUCAUCUAUACAAGGAAAUGUGUUCUCAUCAAGCUACGGGACAAGGCAAAUUAGCAACCUUUAUACUCAGAUAUAUUAUUCCAAGCAGAUAAACAUGUAAAUAUAUGUGAAGAAUAUUAUGAUAAUGAUCAAUAUAGAAUCUGUAACAUUAUCAGAGGGGUAUCGAUCGACCAUCCAAAGAAAAGGAUAUCCUCUGCAUAUGUGCAUGCCAACAACUAUAAAAGGAGACCAUGAGGCAAUGAAUCAUCAAAGCAAAGACACAGAUAUCCCAACUAAAAAUCAAUCAGUGAGACAAUGGCUGGAACUGGAACCAAUGAUAUUAAAAUUAAAGGGUUCGAUUUGAGCAACAACAGCGGCAACACGUCGGGAUUAACCCACUUCGCCAACAGAGCUGAUGGGGGCGACAAGGGCGACAAUAAAAUCGAGGUUGAGGGUGCUAAAGCGCAAGAUAACAAGGGAAACUUGAAAGUACUUACCGAUUUCGCCCAACGCGGUGAAGUGGGCAGGUCGGAUCGCCAAGAACUUCUCAAGCCUCAGGCAUGAAAUUGAAGAAGGCCAUACCAUAUAUGUGCUGAAUUAUCUACACAAAAAUAAGAGCUGAUGUUUUAUCUGAGGCUCCUUCCUUGGUUAGGCCUCGUUAUCAUGUGUAAUAUUAAUAUUAUUAUUCUAAUAAAAUAAUGGCAGCUUAUUAUUAAAUAUAUCAAAAUUCUAUACGUAUAACUUUUAGAUUCUUGAGUGGGAAACCCUAGCUGCAUUCUGGUCCCUUUUCUUCUUGCCGACAACCAACCACAAGGAAACUAAAGGGGGAGGUGGCCACUGCCCCUCCCCCCCUUCGCCCAUCUUCCCUUUCUCUCCUCAUCUUCCCUUCUUUUUCUCCCAUCUUUUCCCUUCCUCUUAUGCCCUCUUCUCUUCCCAUUCCCUUUCCCAUAUAGUCUAGAUCUAUUUGGAUCUAGGUUUUGUUUGUUUGUUUGUUUGGUUUGGUUUGGUUGUUUUUGCAGUAUUCUAGGUGACUGGUAGUGACGUUGGAUUGUGUCUAUUAUCGGGAGAGUUGUGAUACCUAGUGGCUGAUGUUUUGUCUCUGUUUCAACGACGGCGGCAGUAGCGACACUAGUGAUAGUUAUUGGAUGUGGUGCUCUUCUUUAUUCUGCACUUACCGAAGAACUAUGCUUGGUCAUAGGAGGUUUUCUUUGUCAGAUUCUGAGUUGAAGUGGAGUGCUUCUUAGGGGUCCUUUUAUUGUUGCUUCUAUGUUCCUCCUCUGUGUUCUCUCCUGUUUUCUGUUAUGGUAUGCCUUGUAGUUUGUAUGGGUGUCAAAAUACUAUGAUUUUGCUCAUAGAAGGCUUCUUUUGACAGUUGGGAUAUUCUACGAUCCUCUUCUGUGGGUUUACUAUUUGGGGUUUCUGUCGUUCUCUCAUGUGGGUGUACUAUGUUGGUAUCUAGUUGAGGUUUUCGUCGGAGUUCUUUUUGUUAGUUUUCGUUUUUGAUUUGUUCUUUUAUUGUAAUGGUCCAAAGCGACCAGAAUUAAACUCUCUUGUUAGUCCAUGACAUGUGUGGUACUCUUUUCUCCCCGGGGUUUGUCCCUUGAGAUUGCCCUAGGAAGGUUUUAACGAGGCCACUAUAUCAUGUUGCUCAUUGUACGUCUUUGGUUCUAUUAAUUAAUUCUCUUUCUUAAAAAUAACAAAAAUAAAUAAAUAAAUAAAUAAAAAUUUAGAUUAUUGAUAACGAUGUCAACAAGAGAAAAUGAUUAAAAAGUCCUUUCUCCAAUUCGUGAUGUUACAAAAUGAGACUUCAAAUUGUAAAACUAUAGUUGGAUACGAGUAUAAAACUGAACCAGGCAAUGUAUGGGCCAGAGUGACCAAGGUUGUACGACAGUGAACUAAUGGCAAUUUCUCGUUGCAUGCACGCAUAUGCAAUUGAAGAAUGCCAUAAUAAUAUGUGUUUUUACUAAAUUAUCUACACUAAAAUAAAAACUGAGGCAUUAUCUGAGGCUCUUUCCUUGGCUAGGCCUCAUUUUCAAUUUUGAUUUCAACUUUGAUUUCGCUUAAACUUUGAUUUUGAGCUAGACUGUAAUUUCGACUUUGAUUCUGAUUCUCUCCCAAUUCAUGCCUUAAGAAUCAGUUUCUCCCAACUCUAUUUACCAAAACCAAAAACUCUAAACUUUUCAAUUCGUCUGGGUACUCUCAGAGUUUCAUGCCCUAGUUUCCUCUCGCCAAAAAGCCAAAAAGACUUGGCUUUCAUGUAAUGCUAUACUCCUCGAUUGAACAAGCUGCGUCUUCAAAUUCAACUUUCUCACUUCCCUUCUCUUUACUUUCUUUUCUUUUGUUUUCCAGCCCGGAAAAUCAUGGAAGCAUUACAAAUUUAAGAGAAUAUUCUAGUAUUAGGGUCCAAACUGUACUAUUUAGGUAUUUUCAUUCUGAUUAAGAGUUCUUUUCUAGAAAUUUGGUGAAGAAAAAAUAGAGUUUCUGUUUUAGUGUUUGAUUUUCAUUAUAGUGAGUUAUGUGAAAUCGAAAUGUUUCUUGUGUGAUUUCAUCACUGCUUUCAAAUUGCAAAUUAAGGAUUUGAAGGUUACAAAUUAUUAUGUAGAUAAUUUUUGGGAAUUUAAGAGGCAGUACAGUGUUUGUAUAAGUCUUGAGAUAGACCAAUUUACCACAUGCUCGAUUUCUAUAUAUAAAUUUUUUUAAAUCAUUCUUUUGUUUUAUUUAUUCUGUUAAUUUGUCAUAAUGUGUAAUAUGAUAGCUUCUAAUUCUUUCUUCCUAUUUCUUCUUUUUUGUUAUUCUCUCCCAAAUGAAAUGAAGACCUAACUUAUAUCAAGAAGAAGAGGAUGGAUCCUUACAUAUGAAGAUUUUAAAAUUAACAUUAUUGGAAGACAGUAGGAGUAUCGGCAAUUUGAUACAAGUAUCGGAGUAUCAAAUACGAGCAUGCCCGUCUUUAACAAUGUCUCAUUUCAAUUAGUACAAAAGAAAAAUAAAGGCAGAGUUCAAAAUAGAUUGUUCAGUUUCGAAAGUGACAUUGAGAUUUAAAAAGACUAGACAUUAAGAUGGCAAGAGAGAUCUAAAAGGAUCAAACAAAAAAAAUGAAUGAAAAAUUGAAAAUGCCCUAGAAAGGGAGGAAAUCUUAGUUGCAAUGGGGAUAACAGUAUUUUGCUAUCCUCGAUCAAUAAUUUUAUACCACGUGACCUAAGGAGGCAUGUCAAUCUAGCUCAUCUGGUCCACCGUCCAUGAUAUGAACUCGACUUGAGAGUUUUUUUUUUUUUUUUUUUUUUUUUUUGGGGUUGAAGUAGAACAACUAGACUUGAGAGUUGAUGUCACAUCUCAAGGUCGGUUCCACCGUAGCACGAUAUUGUCUGCUUUGGGCCCCCUCUUUGUCCUCGCGGUUUUGUUUUUAGGAGCUCACGAGCAACUUCCCAGUUGGUCACCCAUCUUGGGAUUGCUCUAGCCCAAACUCACUUAACUUCGGAGUUCUCAUGACUUCGAAAUCAGUGAGCUCCCAAAAGGCCUCGUGCUAAAAGGAGGUGGGCAUAUACAUAUAAGGCGCAACACCCCCUCUCCGUUAGUCGAUGUGGAAUGUUACAAUCCACCCCCUUUAGAGGUCCGACGUCCUCGUCGGCACAGUCUCACCACACGGCAGAGUGGCUCUAUGCCAAAUUGUCGCAUUCCGGGAUCGGCUCCGUCGUAACACGAUAUUGUCCGCGUUGGGUCAACCUCUCUGCCCUCACGAUUUUGUUUCUGGGAGCUUACGAGCAACUUCCCAGUAGAUCACUCAUCCAAACUCGCUUAACUUCGGAGUUCCCAUGACUCCGAAGCCAGUGAGCUCCCAAAAGACCUCGUGCUAAAUGGAGGUAGGCAUGUACAUAUAAGGCACAUCACCUCCGCUCCGUUGGUCGAUGUGGGAUGUUACAGUUGAGGGCUCCGUUGGUCGAUGUACGAUGUUACAGUUGAGGGCUCCGUUGGUCGAUGUAGGAUGUUAUAGUUGAGGCAGCCAAAAUAGAAGGGAAGCAACCCUACUCCACUCCCUCUCCCCAUGUGCCCAGUUCUCUACUCGUUUACUUCACCUUUUAAACCCCUUCGUACUUGAAGACCUGGCUGGCAAUUUGAUUGAAGCGAAAGAGACUAAUUAUCCAUGCUUUUGUUGAAAUCAUUAACAAAAUAAGAAACUUUAGUAAUUGAAGCGAAAGAGACUAAUUAUCAAAACAGAAAAUAUGAAAAAAGAAGCUCCCAAUCCGAACUUUAAGUCACAAGUUUAACAGUUUACUUUAAAACAAAAGCAAGUUACGAAACAAUCCCCUUAUUUACUUGUUAAACAUCAACCGACCCAUUAUUGAUGAGGAUUGAGAAUCUAAGAGCACAUGGACGAUGGAUCUCUCUCCCUUUUUGAAAACAAAAACAAAAACCAACUUCAUUAUCCUUAGUGAAUUUGUUCUGGAUUAGUUGUGUUGCAAUGGAACAUCGAACCUACCUAGCUAAAAGGAAAAAAGAAAGGCCACUACGACAGUACUGCAGUAUAUUAUUCCAAGAAGACAAAUGUAGACUAUAUACGUGAAGAAUAUCUAGUAUUGGUCGUCAUUUUCAAUCCUCAUAAAAGAAAACUUACUUCGCCAUAAUUUCAGGUUGUUCUCAAGGCAGGAAGGUAAGGACACUUGAAAAGAUUCCUUCUCAUCAUCUAUAUAAGGAAAUGUGUUCUCAUCAAGCUAGGGGACAAGGCAAAUUAGCAACCUUUAUACUCGAUAUAUUAUUCCAAGCAGAUAUACAUGUGAAGAAUAUUAUGAUCUUGAUCAAUAUGGAAUCUGUAUCAUGAUCAGUGGAUGUAUCGAUCGACCAUCCAAAGAAAAAGGAUAUCCUCUGCAUAUAUGUGUGCAUGCCAACAACUAUAAAAGGAGACCAUGAGGCAAUGAGUUGAUCAUCAAAGCAAACACACAGAAAUCCCAACUAAAAAUCAAUCAGUGAGACAAUGGCUGGAACUGGAACCAAUGAUAUUAAAAUUAAAGGGUUCGAUGUGAGCAACAACAGCGGCAACACGUCGGGAUUAACCCACUUCGCCAACAGAGCUGCCGAGGGCGACAAGGGCGACAAUAAAAUCGAGGUUGAGGAUGCUAAAGGGCAAGGGAACACGGGAAACUUGAAAGUACUGACCGACUUCGCCCAACGCGGUAAAGUGGGCCAGUCGGAUCGCCAAGAACUUGUCAAACCUCAGGCAUGAAAUUGAAGAAGGCCAUACCAUAACCACUUGUCUGCUUGAUAGAUAUAUGUGCUAAAUUAUCUACACAAAAAUAAGAGCUGAUGUUUUAUCUGAGGCUCCUUCCUUGGUUAGGCCUCGUUAUCAUGUGUAAUAUUAAUAUUAUUAUUCUAAUAAAAUAAUGGUAGCUUAUUAUUAAAUAUACCCAAAUACUAUACGUAUAACUUUUAGAUUAUUGAUACUGGUGUCAACAAGAGAAAAUGAUUAAAAAGUCCUUUCUCGCAUUCGUGAUGUUAGAA